Molecule: ribosomal RNA, 560 nt
Filed under: uncultured bacterium
Lineage: Bacteria
Description: partial 16S ribosomal RNA
Rfam family: Bacterial small subunit ribosomal RNA
Source: RNAcentral
GUUAAGGAUGGGGGCAGCCUGAUCAGCCAUGCCGCGUGUGUGAAGAAGGCCUUCUGGUUGUAAAGCACUUUUGUCCGGAAAGAGGCGGCUUGGAUUAGUACUUUUGGGUAUUGACCGUACCACAAAAAAAAGGCCCGGUCAACUUCUGGCCCCCCGCCCGGGUAAAACCUAAGGGCGUUACCUUAAUUUGAUUUACCGGGCGGAAAGGGGGGCCAAGCUGUUUUUCAAAACCGAAUGUAAACCCCCGAACUUAACCUUAGAAUUGGAUUGGGGACUGCGCGGCUGAAGUGAGGGGGAGGGGGGUUCAAUUCCAAGUGGUAACGUGAUAAUGCUUCAGAUGCAAAUCAAUACGCAUGGGCAACGCACCCCCCUGGAAUAACAUUGACGCUCUGGCGCAAAAACGUAUGAAGAACACAGGAUAACAUACCCCGUGCACACCCCGCCCUAAACAAUGUCCCUAUUUGCGGGGGAUCCUUUUCCUUUUUAACGGCGCUAAUGCGUGAAUUUGACCACCUGGGGGGGACGGCCGCAAAAUUAAAACACUUGAGAUUUGUCGGCGG